CCUACGGUGCGCUGCAGUGGGGAAUAUUGGACAAUGGGCGAAAGCCUGAUCCAGCCAUGCCGCGUGUGUGAAGAAGGCCUUCGGGUUGUAAAGCACUUUCAGUGGGGAAGAAAGCCUUGGGGCUAAUACCCUCGAGGAAGGACAUCACCCACAGAAGAAGCACCGGCUAACUCCGUGCCAGCAGCCGCGGUAAUACGGAGGGUGCGAGCGUUAAUCGGAAUUACUGGGCGUAAAGCGCGCGUAGGCGGUCUGAUAAGCCGGUUGUGAAAGCCCCGGGCUCAACCUGGGAACGGCAUCCGGAACUGUCAGGCUAGAGUGCAGGAGAGGAAGGUAGAAUUCCCGGUGUAGCGGUGAAAUGCGUAGAGAUCGGGAGGAAUACCAGUGGCGAAGGCGGCCUUCUGGACUGACACUGACGCUGAGGUGCGAAAGCGUGGGUAGCAAACAGGAUUAGAUACCCUUGUAGUC
RNAcentral lists this ribosomal RNA (465 nucleotides) under Vreelandella stevensii. RNAcentral describes it as "partial 16S ribosomal RNA". It matches the Rfam family "Bacterial small subunit ribosomal RNA", at positions 338 to 795 of the family's 1533-position model. The record is from RNAcentral. Lineage: Bacteria; Pseudomonadati; Pseudomonadota; Gammaproteobacteria; Oceanospirillales; Halomonadaceae.